UACGUAGGGUCCAAGCGUUAUCCGGAAUUACUGGGCGUAAAGCGUACGUAGGCGGCGCGUUAAGUGCAAUGCGAAAUCUUGUGGCUCAACCAUAUAGACUGUAUUGCAUACUGGCGUGCUUGAGGAUGGCAGAGGCAAGUGGAAUUGGUAGUGUAGCAGUGAAAUGCGUAGAUAUCGAGAGGAACACCUGCGGCGAAGGCGGGUUGCUGGGCUGACACUGACGCUGAACUGCGAAAGCUAGGGGAGCGAACGGG
This 254-nucleotide ribosomal RNA is filed under the name uncultured prokaryote. RNAcentral's name for it is "partial 16S ribosomal RNA". It matches the Rfam family "Bacterial small subunit ribosomal RNA", at positions 524 to 776 of the family's 1533-position model. The record is from RNAcentral.